UUGACUUGUCAAAGGUAAGGUUUUGUAAAUUACUUGAUGGUGAGCUCUGAUUCGUACCUACUAUUAUUGGAUAUAAAUCGAACAUUUGAAUUGAUUGCAUUCUACUAUUGCGAAAAGAUGGAAACUCGUCAAAAUGAGAUUAUUUUACUCUAUGGAACAAACGAAGUUGUGAGAAAUAGAAAAAAAAAACGGUGCCUGGACAUGGUGCAAUGCCAAAAAUCGUCAUCAAUGACACUGACAGGAUGUGUGAAUGACCUUGACCUACCUUGACCACGACGAGAGGAAACACGAGGACGUCUCUACGCCGGGCUGCCGUAAACACCUCAAGAGUUUUUUUUUUUUGUAUUGGGCGAACUGGUUUAUGUGCAACACGGCGGGUUGCACCGUCAUAGCUGAUUGUUUAAGUGAGUUAUAUUUUCUUCAGAAAUGAUCCAUGAUAAGUUCCUGGGAUCCGUGUCCCAUUUAAAUUCUCUAAAAUAUAAGAAUUUGUACCAAGAA
Molecule: long non-coding RNA, 498 nt
Organism: Armigeres subalbatus
Lineage: Eukaryota; Metazoa; Arthropoda; Insecta; Diptera; Culicidae
Exons: 2
Source: RefSeq, a predicted model, not a curated record